RNAcentral lists this ribosomal RNA (253 nucleotides) under uncultured bacterium. RNAcentral describes it as "partial 16S ribosomal RNA". It matches the Rfam family "Bacterial small subunit ribosomal RNA", at positions 524 to 776 of the family's 1533-position model. The record is from RNAcentral.
UACGUAGGGGGCAAGCGUUGUCCGGAUUCAUUGGGCGUAAAGAGCGUGUAGGCGGCCAGGUAGGUCGGUUGUGAAAACUGGAGGCUCAACCUUCAGAGGUCGACCGAAACCAUCUGGCUAGAGUCCGGGAGAGGAGAGUGGAAUUCCUGGUGUAGCGGUGAAAUGCGCAGAUAUCAGGAAGAACACCCGUGGCGAAGGCGGGUUGCUGGGCCGACACUGACGCUGAGGCGCGAAAGCCAGGGGAGCGAACGGG